GCCACCCCGCACGGUCCGAGAAACCAAAACCCCAUCCCCUCCUCUCUCUCUCUCUCUCUCUUGCUCGUAGCGUGUCGCAGCUUGGAAGGUCAUCCCCUUCUGCCCCAGGAACCCUAACCCUAGGUCGGUGAACUAACGAAACCCUAGCCCUAGAUGGAAGGAACCCCGAUUCGAUCGCCAUUCGUGGAGAGAUCUCCGGCCAUCCGAAGUUGACAUCCUGGGGGUGGAUUUGAGCAGGGAAGUAUCUGCUAGUAGGAGAUCAGCUGUUAUAUAACACAUCCAUUAUUUGUGGAAAAUUUGUGUUUAUAAGGUUUGUUUGGUGGAGUCUGGACUCUCUAUGCCUGGGAAUGAAUUUACUGAAGAGGUCCAUGACUUCGUUAAGGAAGACAAUACAUCCCAGCAUCACCGAUCUGAAAUUGGAAAUGGAAGUUGGUCGAAUUUCGAUAGCAAUUCAUGGGCUGGAAUUCAUAGCCAGAGUGGGAUACCCCUGAAUGUUAAUUCAAGAAAUUCCACUGCUCAGUCUAUAGAUUCUGAAAGAGCAAAUAUCAGGCUGUCUUCACAAUUGUCUUUGGGUGUGAAUAUCACUCAGACAAAUCCAAUUCCAGAUUUUGGUAACAGUCAACCUAGAAAGCAACAGUUAGAUUUGAAAGGAUUUAUGCAUGGCUCUCAUAUUCAAACAAGGCCCAAUCAGGCAGAGUUUAUAGGGGAUAAUUCCUUUUCUGAUAGAAAUAAUACUGCAUGUAGAGGCUUAGCUACUUUUAGUGCACAGCAGGGUAAUGCUCCUCAACACAGUUCUGGCCUUAUAAGAAAUUCAGAAACACCAGAGAUUGCCCAGGCUCCUGUUAAUUUUGACUAUAGUCAACAGCAGCUCAUUAGGAGCCGCGUCCUAGGAACAUUACAAUCUCAUUUAAAGCAGCAGCCAGGUUUUAACAACAUGCAGUUGUGGCAACAGCAAUUGAUGUACAAACAGAUACAAGAGCUUCAGAGACAGCAGCAACUUCAGCAGCUGGAUCAAGGUGAAAGGCAGCAGAAUCCACUUAGCCAGUUGUCUGCUGCUGUGAAGCCAGCAGCGACCAAUCAAUUUUCAGCUCUUGUUAACCAAAUGCCCGUCAAUGAUGCAUCUAAUUACACAUGGUCAAAUAAUUUUGUGGGAGGUGAGUCCAAAACGCCUAGCAAUUCUCAGAUGUUUGUUGCAGGUAACUUGAACUGGACACAACCCAGUGGCUCUCCUGCCGUGCAAAAUUUGACAAAUGGUAGGAUGUUUCCAAAUGACCAAGGCCAAGCAAUGCAGGCCAUGGGGUUUGUCCCACAAAAGCUUGAUCAGUCUCUGUAUGGUAUGCCAGUCUCCAGCAGCAGAGCGCAGAUGAAUCAAUAUUCUCAGUUCCAAGGGAUGCCUAGUGAUAGCACUGAUGUGAUGACUAAGACAGGUGGGAUCCAAGCAGAAAAGGUGUCAAUUCAUUCAGGUCCACCUAAUUCCUUUCAAAGUAGUCAAGGUAUUCCUGAACAAGCUUGUUUGCAGGAUAAUAUUUCAAUUUCUACACAGAACUUUCAGGAAAAACAUUUGUUUGGGAAUGCUUCAGUGCAGAGGGUAAGUAGUGGUGCUGCAUCGGGCAAUUUUCAGCAAGUGAAUCAUUUGCAGCGUGGUGUUCAGCUUCAGAAUUUUCAAGGUACUCAGGAGCAAGCUGAUUUGUCAGGUAACUUGCAGGAAAAACCAGCAGCACAAGUAGGGCUUUCUUCUGAUGAGGCUAGUCUAGAUCCAACAGAACAGAAACUCUUGUUUGGUACCGAGGAUGAUGACACUUGGGGAUUUUCUUUUGGAAGGAAUGUUAACUCUUGCACAGUUGACUACCUGCAUGGAAAUUCUUCAGACAAUGAUCAUUUUGGUGCAUUUCCAUCCAUCCAGAGUGGGAGUUGGAGUGCCCUUAUGCAGGAGGCAGUGCAAGUUUCCAGUAGUGAAAAGGGACUUCAGGAAGAAUGGAGUGGCUCGAGUUUCCACAAAACAGAACCCUCUACUGGAAACCAUUCAACUAUAUCUAAUGACAAUGGGAAGCUGCAAGCAACAUGGGAUGUCAAUAACCUGCAGAGCGCACCUUAUUUAUCGUCAAGACCUUUGCCUUUGCUUAACAAUGCUGAUGCAAGCACAAGCCAUUCUACCGUCCCUGGUUUGCAGCAUUCCUUUACAUCUGCAUAUGAACAAAAUGAUAGGGUAGUGGCUGAAGCUUCCUCCCAUGAGUCCUUUCAGCAGUCAACUAGAAAAACACAGGACAAGCAGUCUCUUCAUAAUCACAAUCAAAAGCAAUUUCUGGAGGGUGUCCCCCAUGCACAAAUGCACAUAAAUACUGGUGUUGGACCUGGGCAAACACUUGGGCAGCUGGAGAACAAUUCAUCUUAUGCAACAAUGGAGUCCAAGUCGCACAGUAUGCCUGGUGUUUGGACUCAGCAACAAAACAUGCCUUUGUUGAAUGCUACUAGCCAAUCAAGUAACAAGCCAAAUAGCUGGAACAUCACAGAUUCACUUGGUAAUGAUGACACUAAGUAUGGUCAAAGCAAUAAUGCAAAAAGAAUCAUGAAUGUCGAAAGGUGUUAUGAUGGCAGUAUGUGGAAGGUUGGUGGAAGUCAAGUGACUCCAAUGGGUGGACUGGAGCUAAUGAAAUCUGAUAUUGGUAGUCCCCAGAUGCAAAAUGACACUUCUUUCAUGGGCAGUGUGGCUGGUGGUAUGCAUUCAGGCACUUUGAGAUUGAAUCAGGAAAUGAAUCAGCAUCUAGUUAAUAGACAUCAGAUUGAUCGUGGAAAACAUGUUGCCCUUGAUUCCUUGGUAAAUUCUGCAAGUAAUGUAAAUGCAGAAGGAAACCUGUAUAAUAAAAGCAGCGGAUCACAACCGUGGGAAUCAACCAUAAAUAACACUGGAAAAGAAUUGGUUGAAACCUAUGAUAGCAAGCAUGAGCAUCCAAAUAUAGUUUCCAAUGAAGAAUAUAUGUCAAACAAUUCAAAUUUUGGGCAGCAUAGCGGUGGUGGAGGUGCUGCAAGAGAGAGCUCCUUGUUUACUGAAAAUGACACCACUGCUUUAGUUAGUGGCAGCCAAAAAUCAUUUAGUCACUCUGAUCAACGAACUCCCGGGUCCCACAGACUUCAAUAUCACCAAAUUGGAAGUGUGGGGAUCAAUAUCCAACCUUCUACCCUCCAGUUGCAGGCAUCAUAUCCUCAGGGUCUGCCUCAGUCAGUCAUCCGAGGAUCAAAUCAUGAGCAAAGAUAUAGUGGGUACUCACAGUUUGCUGGCCCAGUUGUUUCGAACAAUGUUAUUGGUAUGACAAAGGGAAACUUUGCUAAUUUACAGAAAAAUUCAAAAGGAGCAGAGGACGUACAAUCUAGAGGUACUGUACCUAGAUAUGACUCAACUGGGUCGAAUUCCUUUGGUGGAUUGGCUGCUCAGAAUUCCCAGAAUAAAGGAAUUGGACAAACAAGUCAGGAAAUGCUUGAGCUACUUAACAAGGUGGACCAGUCAAGGGACGGCAAAGCUAUUUCCAUAUCUGCUGUACCUGAAGCAGCUCCUUCCGAUAUCUCUGCUUCUCAUCCUCAAGUUAUUCAGUCUUCUGCCUCGCAAGGUUUUGGAUUAAGAUUGGCCCCACCAUCACAAUGGCAGCCAGUUUCAAACCAGCCGUCUCAGACUUCCUUACAUGAUUUUAGUAGUAGGCAACUUGACUAUGAGACAGGGACUAAGGAUCAAACAUGGUUAGCUUCUACAGCUUCAGUUCGACCUCUGCCUCAUGAAGCAUCUCAAAUAGAAAAUAGGGACACUAGGUGCAGUAUAUCUGGACAAACAUGCAUGGAAACAUCACCAUCGUAUAGUCCAGUUAACUCAUCGGCAGCAGCUGCUUCAGAUCUUUCUCAAACAGGAAUUCAGUUACAGCAGCAGCACCACCACCACCACAUGUCUGGAGCAUCUGGAAAUAACACAGUGGAGCAAUCUGCAAAUUUUUCUCUUGGCAGUCAAGCUAAUGUAAAUUCAUUUGCUAAAAAUGUUCCUCUCCUUAGACAGCCACGUGAAUCACAUGACAGAGCUAUGGCUGAUCAAUCUUUUCAGACAUCAGUGCCUAAGCUGGCUGGAAGAAUUCCAUCUUUCAGGCUUGCUUCCUCUGCUGAUACUCAUGCACCUGCUGCUUCAUCAUUUUAUUCAGCACAGACAGAUCAUUCCGGAUCAAUGGAUGCAGGCUUUUCUCGUCCUAGAAGUUCAGGCCAGCCAGUCCCUGUGGUAGAACCUGGGUCAGGGUCUCAACCUUCUACAUCAGGGAUGCAUCUGCAAAUUGGCCUCUCAAAAAUGUCGCAUAAUGUAUGGACAAAUGUACCAGCUCAACAUCUAGCUGGUGUCCAGCCUCACAAUCUUACUUCUGCUAUAUUUCACUCUAUGAGUUUAUCAAAUAACAACAGGAGUACUGGAUUGUGGGGUCUGCAGAAAGUGGAUGAUCAAAAACAUAAGGGAGAAAAUGCUCCAUCUGAGUCUGGUACAUGUUCUGUCAAAUCUCAACAAGCCGCCAAUGGAGAAGAACAUGCAGUCAUGGAUGGUUCUUUGCAACAAGUACCUUGCGAGAGCGUGGAUGUUGCUACUAAGACAGGCUCCAUAUCUCAACGACAAGAACCAACACAAAAGCAUAUGUUAGAAGGAAGUCCUGUCUCCAUUUCAUCUCUGGUCCGUCUGCAUCAGCAAGAUUCCAGCAAGGAAAAACAUGGGCAGGACUCAGCACAUAACUUACAGACAGUGUGUAUUCCUCCCACAAAUGCUGCCUCUUCUAGCAGUGAUGUUGGGUUAUAUGGGCGCACUUCAAAACUUUCUGAAGUUCAACAGCAAAAUUACUCAAAACUUUCUGAAGUUCAGCAGCAAAAUUACUCUCUAUUGCAUCAGAUGCAAACCAUGAAGGGUGCUGAUUCUGAUCCAAGCAAGAGGGUUGGGAAAAGGCUUAAAGGGGCAGAUUUUGGUUCAGAUGCUUUACAGAUGGACUGGAAAGCAGGUCAAGGCAUUGUUUGUGGACAGAAUACAGUCUAUGGGGUUCCUGCAGAUAAUGAAUUGGGUGCGGCUUCACACAGUUCAUUCUCAUCAGAUGUCAAAAUGCUAAGCUUUGCUUCAAGGGACAAUGAAGAGAGAAGUGCAAGCACAUGUUCCCAGCUCCCUGGUAGUGAAGUUGCUUCUCAGGAUAUACGCAUUGUGGGAUGUCAUGAUCUUCAAAAUCACAUUCACUCUCUUACUAAAUGUUCUACAUCAGAUUUAGUAGGAGGAAGUGAGCGCCUGCAGAUUAGUCCUCAGAUGGAUUCCUCCUGGUUUGAACAGUAUGGAACCUACAAAAAUGGUCAGAUUCUUGCUAUGUAUAAUGGCCAGAGGAGUGUGAAACCUGCCACACAGCAGUAUUAUUUUCCAAAAGUUUCUGGGAGUGUGGAUAGUGGUACUGUAGUAGCUCAAAGAAUGGAUACUAGUCAGGUUGGUGGUCUUGGGCAAAGCACAUUAGCUACAACUUUAGCUGCCAAUGAAUCUUCUCCUAGUUACUUGCCUUCUAAUGUCAUGGACCAUGAUAUUGUUCUAAGACUGAAGAAGCGUAAAAGUGCAACAUCAGAGCUUCUACCAUGGCAUAAAGAGGUCACAAAAGGUUCCCGAAGGCUGCAAACUAUCAGCAUGGCAGAGCUGCAUUGGGCUCAGGCUUCCAAUAGGUUAACUGAAAAGGUUGAGGAUGAAGCUGAAAUGUUAGAGGAUGGUUUGCCGGUGCAUCAACCAAGAAGAAGACUAAUCCUUACAACUCAGCUAAUGCAGCAGCUUUUUCCUGCUAUACCAGCUGCAAUUCUUAAAGCAGAGGCCCCUUCAGCUUAUGAAAGUGUGACAUACUGUGUUGCUAAAUCAGCACUAGGAGAUGCAUGCAGCUUGGUUGCUUGCUCAGGAUGUGGUUCUUGUUUGCAGUUAGACAAGGAAAAGAUGAUAUCUGAAAAACAUAAGACUUCGGAGAAAGUUGGAGACAGCACUUACUCAAAAGUUGUAGAGGGCUUUAUUGGAAGAUCGAAGAAGCUGGAAGGUGAAUUCUUAAGACUGGACAGGAUGACUUCAAUGUUAGAUGUACGGCUGGAGUGCCAGGAGUUAGAAAGGUUUUCUAUUGUCAACCGUUUAGGCAAGUUCCACAGUCGGAGUCACACAGAGGGGGUUGAGAGCUCAUCGACUUCUGAAAAUGCACCUCGCAGAACAUUUCCACAAAGAUAUGUUACUGCAAUUUCCAUGCCUGGAAAUCUUCCUGAGGGGGUCCUCUGUUUAUCACUCUAGAUCAUUAAUUGAUUGAUUUUUUUCUCUGACCCCUGCCCCAUGCUUUUCUACUCCCCAUUUAUCAUAUGCAUAGGCACAUACAUAAACAUGGAACAGGGGAGGAAGUAGUUACAUUCAAUAUAUAAUAUGAAGAAGCUGAGGCAACCUAUAGGGUUGCCCGCCUUUGACAUCAGUGCCUCUUGUGUUUUCUUUUACCCAAAGCAUAGGCCUCUGUAAAUUCAUGGAAUUUAGAAGGUUUGGUCUCGCUUCAUUUUCCAGUUGGAGAAGAGUCUAGCAUCAUUAUAUAUUUCUAGAAGAAUUCAUCAUAAUGACUAAGUUACAUUUCCCAGUGAUCAAUGUCAACAUCAACUAGUGUUUUGCAAUCUAGCCAUACAUGGGUAUUGGCAGGUAAUAGAUGGGUUGGAAGCAUUAUUUUCGGCAUUCCUUUCUUCCCGGGCCAUCUUUUGAUGCGCGUGUAACAUCGUUGGUUCAAAGUGCGAUCCUGUUUGGGUGCUACCUGCGGAAAAGAUUAUCUUAUGAGGAGGUUCUUGAAGUUUCAAAACCAGCUACCUUUUCAGGUCCAGCUUUUCAUGUGUUGCGGAAAAUGGGUUCGGAGAAAGGGGACUAUGGUGUUAGAGAGAACAAGUCGACUUCAGAAAAAAAAUUUUUUAAUGAUGCUAGAACAUAUUUUAGUGUUAAAUUUGCGUUUUAGUUUUCUUUACGUUUGAUGUCUUGAUGUUCAGUAAUCUGUUUGACCUGUUGAAAUACAUCCAUGUGACAUUCUGAUUUCUGGAUGGCACCUUCCUCUCAUAACGCAUGCAAAUUCUGUAAUAUUGCUUCCUGAUGUACCCAUACAUUUCAAUUUUUCUGAUAAAGAAGGAAAGCACGCUUUUCUUGUC
Molecule: non-coding RNA, 7170 nt
Organism: Elaeis guineensis (African oil palm)
Lineage: Eukaryota; Viridiplantae; Streptophyta; Magnoliopsida; Arecales; Arecaceae
Source: RefSeq, a predicted model, not a curated record